Molecule: unclassified non-coding RNA, 150 nt
Filed under: uncultured Sordariomycetes
Lineage: Eukaryota; Fungi; Ascomycota; Sordariomycetes
Description: sequence contains ITS2
Source: RNAcentral
CAACCCUCAAGCCCUGGUUGCUUGGUGUUGGGGCAACUGCAGCACUGCCGCAGCCCUGAAGACAAAUGGCGGACCCCUAAGGCAACCCCAGCGUAGUACUUUUUCUAGCUGAGGGCUCUCUGUGGGCGUCGUGCUAUAAAUACAACGUGG